GUUCCGGUAGGAACAUUGGAUAAAAGUGGAACGAUACUGAGAAGAUUAACAUGGUCUGUGCGCAAGAAUGACAGGCACAAAUGUGUUAGUACUCAUUCAUUU
Nicotiana sylvestris (wood tobacco) is the source of this 102-nucleotide non-coding RNA. NCBI's taxonomy places the organism in Eukaryota, Viridiplantae, Streptophyta, Magnoliopsida, Solanales, Solanaceae. The record is from Rfam.